GAUGAACGCUGGCGGCGUGCCUAAUACAUGCAAGUCGAGCGAACAGACGAGGAGCUUGCUUCUCUGACGUUAGCGGCGGACGGGUGAGUAACACGUGGAUAACCUACCUAUAAGACUGGGAUAACUUCGGGAAACCGGAGCUAAUACCAGAUAAUAUAUUGAACCGCAUGGUUCAAUAGUGAAAGACGGUUUUGCUGUCACUUAUAGAUGGAUCCGCGCCGCAUUAGCUAGUUGGUAAGGUAACGGCUUACCAAGGCAACGAUGCGUAGCCGACCUGAGAGGGUGAUCGGCCACACUGGAACUGAGACACGGUCCAGACUCCUACGGGAGGCAGCAGUAGGGAAUCUUCCGCAAUGGGCGAAAGCCUGACGGAGCAACGCCGCGUGAGUGAUGAAGGUCUUCGGAUCGUAAAACUCUGUUAUUAGGGAAGAACAAAUGUGUAAGUAACUAUGCACGUCUUGACGGUACCUAAUCAGAAAGCCACGGCUAACUACGUG
This 497-nucleotide ribosomal RNA is filed under the name uncultured bacterium. RNAcentral describes it as "partial 16S ribosomal RNA". It matches the Rfam family "Bacterial small subunit ribosomal RNA", at positions 28 to 507 of the family's 1533-position model. The record is from RNAcentral.